Molecule: ribosomal RNA, 497 nt
Filed under: uncultured bacterium
Lineage: Bacteria
Description: partial 16S ribosomal RNA
Rfam family: Bacterial small subunit ribosomal RNA
Source: RNAcentral
GAUGAACGCUGGCGGCGUGCCUAAUACAUGCAAGUCGAGCGAACAGACGAGGAGCUUGCUCCUCUGACGUCAGCGGCGGACGGGUGAGUAACACGUGGAUAACCUACCUAUAAGACUGGGAUAACUUCGGGAAACCGGAGCUAAUACCGGAUAAUAUAUUGAACCGCAUGGUUCAAUAGUGAAAGACGGUUUUGCUGUCACUUAUAGAUGGAUCCGCGCCGCAUUAGCUAGUUGGUAAGGUAACGGCUUACCAAGGCAACGAUGCGUAGCCGACCUGAGAGGGUGAUCGGCCACGCUGGAACUGAGACACGGUCCAGACUCCUACGGGAGGCAGCAGUAGGGAAUCUUCCGCAAUGGGCGAAAGCCUGACGGAGCAACGCCGCGUGAGUGAUGAAGGUCUUCGGAUCGUAAAACUCUGUUAUUAGGGAAGAACAAAUGUGUAAGUAACUAUGCACGUCUUGACGGUACCUAAUCAGAAAGCCACGGCUAACUACGUG